Molecule: ribosomal RNA, 445 nt
Filed under: uncultured bacterium
Lineage: Bacteria
Description: partial 16S ribosomal RNA
Rfam family: Bacterial small subunit ribosomal RNA
Source: RNAcentral
GUGAGGAAUAUUGCGCAAUGGAGGCAACUCUGACGCAGCCAUGCCGCGUGCAGGAAGAAGGCGCUACGCGUUGUAAACUGCUUUUAACCGGGAAGAAACCCCAGGACGUGUCCUGGGUUGACGGUACCGGAGGAAUAAGCACCGGCUAACUUCGUGCCAGCAGCCGCGGUAAUACGAAGGGUGCAAGCGUUAUCCGGAUUCAUUGGGUUUAAAGGGUGCGUAGGCGGAGCGUUAAGUCAGUGGUGAAAUCCUGCAGCUUAACUGUAGACUUGCCAUUGAUACUGGCGCUCUUGAGUGCGCUUGAAGUGGGCGGAAUGUGCCGUGUAGCGGUGAAAUGCUUAGAUAUGGCUCAGAACACCAAUUGCGAAGGCAGCUCACUAAGGCGAUACUGACGCUGAGGCACGAAAGCGUGGGGAUCGAACAGGAUUAGAUACCCCGGUAGUCC